Molecule: long non-coding RNA, 423 nt
Organism: Girardinichthys multiradiatus
Lineage: Eukaryota; Metazoa; Chordata; Actinopteri; Cyprinodontiformes; Goodeidae
Exons: 3
Source: RefSeq, a predicted model, not a curated record
AGCUUGAAAUAUUUUACUCUAUAUGGAGUGAAUCUCUAUAAACUAACUGUGUCACUUUCUGAAACUGGCAAAAAUCUUUGAACUUUUACACAAUAUAAAAAUUUUUGGGAUGGACCUGUACUUUACCAACAUGCCAAGGUAGUGCCACAAAGAGGACACACUAUCUCAGCAGGAAAACAAGUCAUCGAUGUAGUCCAUGGUUCCGUCCAGGACCUCAGUCCACUGCCUCCUAGUUGUCAAGGUUAUUGGAAGAGCUACCUUCUGGAAAUUCCUCAAUGUUCCUCUGGUUUCUCCAAUGGCUGCUCCCCUGGCUGAUACCCUGGACCCAACAUCAGAACCAUUCGUUACUGCACCUACAACUCUCACCUGCCUGUCCACCCUCCAACGCUCUGCUGUUUGUGUUAAUAAACCAUUUAAAGUGUC